This 843-nucleotide ribosomal RNA is filed under the name Thaxteriellopsis lignicola. Its description in RNAcentral is "eukaryotic LSU rRNA". It matches the Rfam family "Eukaryotic large subunit ribosomal RNA", at positions 66 to 929 of the family's 3401-position model. The record is from RNAcentral. Lineage: Eukaryota; Fungi; Ascomycota; Dothideomycetes; Tubeufiales; Tubeufiaceae.
CAACUGGGAUUGCCUCAGUAACGGCGAGUGAAGCGGCAAUAGCUCAAAUUUGAAAUCUGGCUCUUUCAGAGUCCGAGUUGUAAUUUGUAGAGGAUGCUUCGGCUUACGCCCCGGUCUAAGUUCCUUGGAACAGGACGUCACAGAGGGUGAGAAUCCCGUACGUGGCCGGCGGCCUCCGCCAUGUGAAGCUCCUUCGACGAGUCGAGUUGUUUGGGAAUGCAGCUCUAAAUGGGAGGUAAAUUUCUUCUAAAGCUAAAUACUGGCCAGAGACCGAUAGCGCACAAGUAGAGUGAUCGAAAGAUGAAAAGCACUUUGGAAAGAGAGUUAAAAAGUACGUGAAAUUGUUGAAAGGGAAGCGCUUGCAACCAGACUUGCCCGCGGUUGUUCAGCCGGUCCUUCGGCCGGUGCACUCUUCCGCGGUCAGGCCAGCAUCAGUUUAGGCGGUCGGAUAAAGGCUCUAGGAAUGUAGCUCUCUUCGGGGAGUGUUAUAGCCUGGGGCGCAAUACGGCCCGCCUGGACUGAGGUCCGCGCUUCGGCUAGGAUGCUGGCGUAAUGGUUGUAAGCGGCCCGUCUUGAAACACGGACCAAGGAGUCUAACAUCUAUGCGAGUGUUUGGGUGUCAAACCCGUGCGCGUAAUGAAAGUGAACGGAGGUGGGAACCUUAGGGUGCACCAUCGACCGAUCCUGAUGUCUUCGGAUGGAUUUGAGUAAGAGCAUAGCUGUUGGGACCCGAAAGAUGGUGAACUAUGCCUGAAUAGGGUGAAGCCAGAGGAAACUCUGGUGGAGGCUCGCAGCGGUUCUGACGUGCAAAUCGAUCGUCAAAUUUGGGUAUAGGGGCGAAAG